RNAcentral lists this ribosomal RNA (520 nucleotides) under uncultured soil bacterium. RNAcentral's name for it is "bacterial SSU rRNA". It matches the Rfam family "Bacterial small subunit ribosomal RNA", at positions 26 to 523 of the family's 1533-position model. The record is from RNAcentral.
AGGAUGAACGCUAGCGGCAGGCUUAACACAUGCAAGUCGAGGGGCAGCACGUCUUCGGAUGGUGGCGACCGGCGCACGGGUGAGUAACGCGUAUGCAAUCUACCUUUUACUGGGGCAUAGCCCGGGGAAACCCGGAUUAAUAUCCCAUGGUACCAUGAUAUAGCAUUAUAUUUUGGUUAAAGCUUCGGCGGUAAAAAGAUGAGCAUGCGUCCUAUUAGCUUGAUGGUAAGGUAACGGCUUACCAUGGCUUUGAUAGGUAGGGUCCUGAGAGGGAGACCCCCCCACACUGGUACUGAGACACGGACCAGACUCCUACGGGAGCAGCAGUGAGAAUAUUAGGACAAUGGGCGAGAGCCUGAUCCAGCCAUCGCCGCGUGCCGAAGGAAAGACCGGGCCCCUAAGUGGGUUUAGUAAAACUGUCUUUUUUAAGUAACGGGAAAUAACACCUCCCCUCGUGAGGGUAAUUUGACGGUACCUAUAGAAUAAGGAUUGGCUAACUCCGUGCCAGCAGCCGACGUAA